Molecule: long non-coding RNA, 10658 nt
Filed under: Homo sapiens (human)
Lineage: Eukaryota; Metazoa; Chordata; Mammalia; Primates; Hominidae
Description: HSALNT0408813
Source: RNAcentral
GGCCCCAGUGUGUGAUGUUCCCCUUCCUGUGUCCAUGUGUUCUCAUUGUUCAAUUCCCACCUAUGAGUGAGAACAGACCCAGCACUUGUUUUACGACAGUGAAUGCCUGAAGUGUUGGUCACCGAUCAUGAUUGAACGUUGUUUGUAAUCUUAUAUCUCAAGUGAAUUGCGUGUCGAAAAUCACGUUAUUCAGUCCAAUUCUGUUCCUAGUAUUUUGCAUAAGUUUCCCUUGAAAUUUAUAGGGAAUAUUCAAUUUAAAAAUGAGUAAAUUCAUGGUCAGAUUGAAUGCGUUCAGUUUUCUGGAAUGAAUGACAUUUGCAGGUCACGUUGCACAGUUUUAUUUUAAAACCAUAAUUGUGUAUUUAAUAUACUGUUUUUCUUUAAAUUUGGCUUUGGGCCUCAUUUCCAGGUGUUCUCCCGCAGAAAACAUGAUGUGUGUAGUUUUUAUAUGCAAACGAGUUAAAGAAGAGUGAUCUAGAGCCAGGCUGGUCAAGACAAGAAUUGGCUGGAAUAGGCUGCUCUUCCCCCAUUCCAUCAUGUGCUGUCCCCACCCCUUUGGCCACCUGGGCUGACUGUGUCUUAAUACCUCAAGUGCAAGUAUAUAGGAGUAAGAAAUGAACAAUGCCUGCCUCCUUAUACUCAUGCCUACAUUGUAUGACAUCUAGUAUGAAAGGGAAACAUUAAAGGAAAACCCUUGUUUUGCUCUAAAACCUGAGGACGGUAAACACUGAGAGUAACCUGGUGCUUGGUUUGAAGUAAAACACAAAUACUUCCCUUUUAUAAUGGUGAUGGUUGUGUUUGCUUAUUAGCCUUUUUGCUGGUUAAUUCUUGAUACUGACUAGAAAUGUGUAUAUUGCUUCUUGAAAUGAUUUAAUGACUUCUAUAUUGGUGAACAUGGACGUUCUCUAAGUAUAAUCCACUUAUAUUAUAUUUACAAAUCAGUAAGAUUGAUUGCUGGUAUUUGGAUUUUGUGUUAUCUGUGUAUUUGUUACUGGCAGGAAUGCAAAUUUGAGAAAUUAGGAUGCUAACUAGCCUCAUUAAUCUUGGCUUUUCAGGCAGAGCCCUGGACCUUGAACAAUAUCUCCUUAUGGAAUGAAGAACUUGUAUUACAUACCCGUUGCCCAUAGUAUCCUAAAGGACCUGUGGUGGGAAUGUCCAGGACUGGUCAGCCUGUGAGCCUGUAACAUGGAUACAGUGGAGCCAGAACAAACUGUCCAGAACAGCCAGACAAUAACAGUCAGCAGCAAGAUGAACUGGACAGUCAAAAAUAAACUCCAGGAAUGAAAAGAUUGUGGGAGUGCUACUCAGGUGUCUUAUGUCUGGUGUAAAAACAUGGAUCUGAAGGGCCAGCAAGCUUCCUCAGGGAUUACUGAGGCAUCUCCUUGGAAACCAUACCUCAUUAAUCCUGCUGUGAAGUAAGAGGCAGCCAGGACCCCAAGCUUUUCCUUUUUCUGAGCCACAUUCUGUUCUGGCCAGCUCGGACACCUUACAUGGAGGCUGACAGGGCUCAACACCCAGCACCCAUCAGGACUCACUACCGUCUGUAAACUGAGCAGCCUGGAGGGAGCCUGUUGACUAGCAGUGCCAGAGAGGUCUCUUCUCUUUCUUUGCCUAUGUAAAGUAAUUUCUUUUAGGUGUGGUGAUUAAUUUAUUGAAAUUCAGGUGAAGACAUUUGACAAUUUGACAGAGAGAAGAAAAGUGCUAGAUGGAAAUAUGCACUCUUCUCAAAUGUUCUCAAAGAGACUUUUAACCUUUAGUCCCAGUAGAUACUUCUCGUUUGGUUUCUCUACCUUUCUCUUGACACAAUUUUCAUUCAGAAGGUGGCAUCACAGAACCUGAAGCCACACACCUUAGGUCAAAUUCCACACUUCCUUUUGAAUAGACACUAAAAUGUCUAGCCUUUAUCCAACACAGUGACAUUCACACUCUUCUGAUUUAUCCCUGUAUUUUGUUAAGUUACUUUAAAUCCUUGGAUGAUGAGGGUCAUUGUUAUUUGCCACCCAAUGAAAAACUGAGACCUGAGAUAUACAUAGAAAAGCUUUACCCCAAACCUAUGUUUCUUAACCAAAUAAUGUGAUAGUGACCUAGAGUGGCUUAUUUCCUAGUCAAAAGUAGGUGUGAAACAAGGUGACUGUGACUCCUCUCUGUUACACACGCGUGUGUUGUGCCCUCUGCCCCUGCAAUGGCACAGUCAUCUUAAGUCACUUCACUGUUGUGGAAGAGACUGUGGGGAAAACCUAAAUGAUGGUUUAGUUGGUAAUUCUACUGACUAUUGGCAUUUUAAAAUUUGGGGUUUAAAAAAAUUGUUUGUGGAAAUGGGGUCUUGCUGUGUUGCCCAGUCUGGCUCCAAACUCCUGGGCUCAAACAAUCCUUCCUCAGCCUCCCAAAAGUCUGGGAUUACAGGCAUCAGCCAUUAUGCCUGGCUCUAUUGGCACUUUAGAAGCAUUCAUAAAGUAGGGGGAUCCAAAAAGGUGUCUCUCUGGUGACAGUUUCAGGGAUCAGGAUGCUGGAUGAAAAAGAAAGUGGGCCUCCUCUGAAUUUAAAGUGGGACCUUGCCCCUUAGAUCCUUCCCAGGAGUUCAUUCCUAGGCCAGCACAGGCAGUCUCAUCAGGCAUGUAGUCAAUGAAUGACUGUUCACUAAUGGGAAUGUUAAUGUGCUACAAAUUUUCGUGUGAAGUGUUCCAUGUCAAACUCACAUUUGCCUUAACAUGUUUUUUCACGCCUCUUAUUUCAUGGAAAUAAGAGGCCUCUUAUGUCAUGGAAAGGGAAUGCAUGAUAAUGGACACUUUAAAGCAAGGCUUUGGACUGAAAGUCUAUGGGUUAUAUAUGUAGGAGGCAAUUUAUUUCACUAGUAUUCACUCAAACAGAAAAACAAAUAUGAAGACUGAUAUUUUUAUCUUUUUUUAAAAUGACAUUUUGGGUUACAGAUAUAAUACGUGCUCAUGUACAAAGUAGAGAGAUUUCAGGAGAAUAUAAUGAAAUCAAAUUCACUAAAAAUCUGUCUACAUAGAAUUACACUCACUGUGACCAUUUUGGAUCAUUUCCAGUUAGGCUGUUCCUUGACAAUACCCAUUUUUAAAAAAUUAGGACUCUUGACAUUAAUUUUUAUCAAGUAAAUUUAUGCUCUCACACUCAGAAAUUUGAAAAAGUCUUUGAUACAAUUUUUUUUUUAUUUUGUAGUCAUGAGAAAGGGACAUUUUUAUCCCUGGGAAUUGAAGGCUUGUCUCUCCUAACUUAAAUGCCAACUUGAGUCUUCUUAGUGCCCAACAUGUUAUUUUGGAGCAUAAGGGCCAGCCACAAGUGGGAGAUAUUAGCCAGUGAGAAAAAUGCAACUGAUUGUAUUCCUUGUUAUACUAGUUCCCUGUUAAAUGCAUCCAGUAGUGUAACUGGGACAACAAUGGUCAUUUUGAGAGACAUCUUAUUCUACUAGAAAGGAAGAUAUAAUGGCGAUGGUGAUGAUGAGAGUGGUGGUAAUGAUGCUAAAACAAAUCAGCCAAAGCUACCACUGAUAAAAUCCUUACUAAAACCGAGAAGUUUCUUAUCUAAUCCUAUAAAAAUGUGUAUUAAAUACUGCUAUUUUCUCUGUUUUUCAAAGAACAUUAAUGACUACAGAACAUAUACUUACCUUGACAUGGCAUCACAGCCAAAAUAUUGUGAGUGCUGGUGGAGAGGGACUCAGAUCUAGGUUUUAACUGGCCUUGAAUUCUGUGGGAUUUAUCAUAAGCUGUAAGAAGCCUUUUAAAGUAUGUUUUUGUUGCUAGAAAAAAGCAUUAGUUACCCCAACCUCUAUCUCCUCUUCACUUUCCAGUCAAUAUAAUUGUCCAGAGGACACACAAGGUGAUUUUGCAGUUGUAGAGAUAACAGAUGGUAAAAAUGCUUGUGAAAAGAAGGGACAAUAUGUUUUGAAGUAAAUGGAUUUCAUGGAUCCCCAGCCAUUUUAUCUGUUGUUUUAAUAACAAGAAUUAUAGAGGUUAGAGGCUCAGAAAAGGGGAAGGGCUUCUCUGAUCAGGAAAGAUGGAGUGACACAUCUUCCCUUCACCAGGGGCCUACAGGCUAGAGGUGGGAAAGGGGCUGUAAGCAGUGGCAUUGUGUGGAGCUGCUUCCUAGAGGUUGAGGCCAAGGGACUCUGGUGGGAAAGUUGCCCUGGGCACUCUGCAUUCAAGGGAGUGUUUCCUACUCCCUUCUCCAUGCCUGGCACCACAACAAAGCAUAUUGUUGAGUGUAACGUGAGAAGUAUACCUUUUGGCAAAGACAGGACUUUUAUGAUGGGGAUAGAACCUUACUUUCCAUUAUCCUUGAGAAUUCCAGACUUGGCUACUGGUGAAGGCUUAGCUUCUGUGUAUACCCUUAGCCUGUGAAAAAUGGCUCAGGAAAAGGUGAGCUAUACCUCUUUUACUGUAGCUUAGUAGAGCAAUCUGAGGGAGAUAUCUGAGAAGCAACUGCGAGUGUUUCUGGGAAGCUGUCAGUCUUGGUUGAGUUGAGCACACAGUCUUUCAUAUCUGUAGUGAGCUGUGUUCACCAGCAGAGAAUUAGGAAAGUGACAUGCUGUUGCUGAUAUGUUCUUCUAACAUAUGACCCAGUAACUUUUUUCUUCCAUGCUCCAAUGGUUCGAAUGCCUGUGCAAGGUAAUACAGGAAACACACACUGGCAUUGGCAGCAUUCUGGGCACGGGAAAUUUGGGGUCUAGAGAAGAAACUGGUGAUGGCCUUCUGUCAGGAUUCUGUGCUCAGACACUAAUGUGCUGAACUGCAUGGUUUCCACUGUGAAGAGGAAUGGCAUGUCAGGCAUCAUGAGGACCCCUGAUUCAGUGAAUAGGAACGCAGUUGAAGUUUAUUCAAGCAUUUCUCUGUUUUAGCUUCUUGCACUCUUCCAUUGAUCAUACUCUGCACAUUGGUGGGGACAGAAAAGUCAUGUGGUUCCUGUCAAUGACCAGUACAUGAAGCUGGUGAAAUUUUGAUCCUCAUAGGUAUCUGUAGAAGAGCCUGAGUGUUCAGGAAGCUCCCAUGUCAGGUAUCCAGGCUAGCAGCUUAAUCUCUCCUAUUCCUCAUGCUGAAAAUGGCACCUACCUCAAGGCUGUAGGUGUCAGUUUCCCUGUUUAUAAGCUGUUGCCACUUGGUGAUCUGACCCAUCUGCCAUUUGGUCCUCUCAGAGGGGAAAUUACAUGGUCUCAAAAUGACCUUGCCUGUGCUUUCAAGCAGAGAGUGUUACAGACACAACCGUGAGGGAUUUAUACAUCUUGUAUAGUACUCCAGCUACUGCAGCUGUUACAGGAUAAGGGGAAGCCACAGUUUGAGGAGGGGAGGGCACACUGCUUUCCGUAUUUCAGGCUACCUAAGAAUUCAAGCAGGAAUGCAAGGAAUCUCCAGAAUAUGACAGAGGAAAACAAUGCACAUCGAUAAAUGUCCUAUGAGCAUAUAUGGCCCAUUGCAAAGUUGAGACAUUGAUGAAAGGGACAGGUCAUUAUUUUCCAUAUCCUCAGUGAAUGAUGGGCUUCUAUAUGGUCACGUAGUUCAAUAAUGUGAUGGACUUCUGCAAAGUUACUGCUGUCACUUUUGCUGAUGCUGUUGUAUCCUCACUGAUGCCAUACACUGUAGGCACUCAUCUUGGUCAUAAUCCAGAGUGUUCUCCCAUAGGUUUAUUGCAAGUCGUGAGCACUACCUGUGAUACGCAUUUCCCGUUAUCUUACUCAAGAGGGCUGAGCUGAGAUGCUCGUUUCAACUGCUUAAGUUAUUUUCUCUUUACCUAGUGCUCAUGCAGGUCAUACAUUUUUGCCGCCAAUCCUUUUCCACAAUUAGAAAAGAAGAGGGCACAGAAGUUUCUCUACUUCAGGCUACCUAACAGGUCAAGCAGGAAUGUCAAGAAUCUGCUGCAUAUGAGGAAAACACAGACAGUUCAAGGACUAGGGACUUUGAUAUGAAAGUUGCAGUGGGCACUAGGGUUCAGGGAAGUGCCCCCAAUUCCCUUUUUCCCUUCCCUCACAGUACAUUUGGAGUACCAUGACUGGAGGACACAGGACAACAUUGCACAUCCACAGAUGUCAUACGAGCAUACAUGGCCCACUGGCAAACGUCAGGCAUGAAUGAUGGGGACAGGUUAUUUUCCAUUUUCCCAGUGUGUGGUGGACUUGUCUGUUGGUGAAGGCAUUGCUGCCUCAGCCUUCUUCUGUGUAUUACUUUAGGCCUGUAAAAAAUGGCCACAGAGGUAGGUGACCCUUCACUCAAUUAUACUGUUACAUAGUACUAUAAUGUGGAGAACUUCUGCAAAGUUACUACUGUUGCUUUUGCUGAUGCUGUUGUAUCCACACGAAUGGGAUGCACUGUAUGCCCUCAUCUUGGUCAUAAUCCAGGGUGUUCUCCAAUAGCUUUAUUUCAAGUCUUGAGCACUGCCUGUGAUACGCAUUUCCCGCUAUCAUUCUCAGGAGGGCUGAGCUGAGAUGCUGGUUUCAACUGCUUAAGUUAUUUUCUCUUUACUUAGUUCUCAUGCAGGCCAAACAUUUUUGCUGUCAAUCCUUUUCCACAAUUUGAGCAGGGGAGGGCAGAGGGUUUCCCUGCUUCAGGCUACCUAACAGGUCAAGCAGACAUGUCAAGAAUCUCCUGCAUAUGAGGAAAAUACAGACAGUUUAGAGGACUAGGGACUUUGAUGUGAUAGUUACAGUGGGCAUUAGGGUUCAGCGAAGUGCCUCCUGUCCCUUUUCCUCUUCCCUGACAGUACCUUUGGAGCAACAUGGCUGGAGGACACAGGACAACAAUGCAUAUCGACCGAUGUGACAUGAACAUACAUGGUCCAGUGGCAAACAUCAGAAAUGGAUGAUGGGGACAGAUUCUUAUUUUCCCUUUUUCCGGUGACUGGUGGGCUUGUCUGCUGGUGAAGGCGUUGUGCCUCAGCCUUCUUCUGUUUAUUGCUUUAGGCCUUUGAAAAAUGGCUACAGACGUACGAGGCCAUUCACCCUAUUAUAUUGUAAUAUAAUACUAUAAUGUGGAGGACUUCUGAAAAGUUACUGCUGUUGCUUUUGCUGAUGCUUUUGUAUCCUCAUCGAUGCAAUGCACUGUGUGCCUUCAUCUUGGUGAUAAUCCAGGGUGUUUUCCCAUAGCUUCAUUGCAAUCUUGAGCACUGCCUGUGAUAUGCAUUUCCCGCUAUCUUUCUCAGGAGGGCUAAGCUGAGAUGUUGGUUUCAACUGCUUAAGUUAUUUUCUCUUUACCUAGUUCUCAUGCAGGCCAUACAUUUUUGCAGCCAAUCCUUUUCCACAAUGUAAGAAGAGGAGGGCACAGGGGUUUCCCUAGUUCAGGCUACCUAACAGGUCAAGCAGGAAUGUCAAGAAUCUCCUGCAUAUGAGGAAAAUACAGACAGUUCAGAAGACAAGGGUAUUUGAUGGGAAAGUUGCAGAGGGCAUUAGGGUUCAGCGAAGUGCCUCCUGUCCCGUAUCCCCUGACCUUACAGUACCUUUGGAGCAGCAUGGCUAGAGGACACAGGACAACAAUGCAUAUCGACUGAUGUGAUAUGAGCAUACAUGGUCUACUGGCAAACGUCACACAUGGAUGAUGGGGGCAGGUUCUUAUUUUCCAUUUCCCACUGAGUGGUGGGCUUGUCUGUUGGUGAAGGCGUUGCUGCAUCAGCCUUCUUUUGUGUAUUGCUAAAGGCCUGUGAAAAAUGGCCACAGAGAUAGGUGACCCUUCACUCACUUAUAUUGUUACACAGUACUAUAAUGUGGAGGACUCCUGCAAUGUUACUGCUCUUGCUUUUGCUGAUUUGUUGUAUCCAUACUGAUGCGACGCACUAUGUGCCUUCACCUUGGUGAUAAUCCAGGGUGUUUUCCUAUAGCUUUUUUGCAAGUCUUGAGCACUGCCUGUGAUACACAUUUCCCUCUAUCUUUCUCAGGAGGGCUGAGCUGAGAUCCUGGUUUCAACUGCUUAAGUUAUUUUCUCUUUACCUAGUUCUUGUGCAGGCCAUACAUUUUUGCUGCCAAUCCUUUUCCACAAUUUGAGAAGAGGAGCGGGUUUCCCUACUUCAGUCUACCUAACAGUUCAAGCAGGAAUGUCAAGAAUCUCCUGCACAUGAGGAAAAUACAGACAGUUCAGAGGACAAGGGUCUUUGAUGUGAACGUUGCAAUGGGCAUUAGGAUUCAGGGAAGUGCCUUCUGUCCUUUUUCCCCUUUCUCACAGUACCUUUGGAGCAGCAUACCUGGAGGACACAGGACAACAAUGCACAUCAAAGGCUGUGAUAUGUGCAUAUAGUGCCCACUGGCAAACGUCACACAUGGAUGAUGGGGACAGGUUGUUAUUUUCCGUUUUCCCAGUGAGUGGUGGCCUUGUCUGUUGGUGAAGGCGUUGCUGCCUCAGCCUUCUUCUGUGUAUUGCUUUAAGCCUGUGAAAAAUGGCCACAGAGGUAGGUGGCGCUUCUCCCUCUUAUAUUGUUACAUAGUGCUAUAAUGUGGAGGACUUCUGCAAAGUUACUGCUGUUACUUUUGCUGAUGCUGUUGUAUCCUCACUGAUAGGCUGUAUACCCUCAUCUUGUUAAUAAUCCAGGGUGUUCUCUUGUAGCUUUAUUGGCAUUCUGGACACUGCCUGUGAUGUGCAUUUCCUUCUAUGUUUCUCAGGAGGGCUGAGCUGAGGUUCUAGUUUCAACUGCUUAAGUUUCCUCUUUACCUUGUUCUCAUGCCUGCCAAUUAUUUUGGCUGCCUGUCCCCUUUUAUUCAUGAUUGUAAAAUUGGCAAGAGGCUUACUUAGCUUUCAAAAAGAUUUGCAUGCUUUGCAAAGAAGCAGAGGAAGAAUUUACAAGUUUUCCAAAGUAAAUCUUCUUAAAAAAGGGAAUUGUUAGGUCUAUUCUUUUUUCACCAGGGAGAUUUAAACUUUUAUUUCUUAUUUUCCUUUGUAUUUGCCCUUUCAACAUGCUGCCAUGUGAUACCAGUUCCCCCAAUUUGCCCUUCACAAUGAUGACUCCUGUGUCCUUGCUCAAGCCAGGCAUGUGCAGAGAAGUUCCUCAUGUGGGACUUGUGCAAACAGGACCUCAAGGACAAAUAAUAAGUAUGAGCACUUGCCCAUUUUCUAGCCUGUGCAUGCUUUUACCCAUACCAGUGUUUUUAUGAAGGGUUCUUUAUAACCAGUUGGAGUGAGGAAUCAAACCAUUAGCCUUGUUUACAGAUGGCUUAAAUUGACAUGUUGAUGUCAAUGGUCUGUUGACAAGUGGGGCUGUACAAUUUAUCUCAUAUCCUCCUGUCCUUGAGUCCUAAAUGAGCAGAGGUUUGGUUUCCUGUAGUAGACAGACAUUUACUUUGUAUGACUUGUUAUAUCUACCGCCUGAUAGAAUUUUUGGCUGUAGAUGAGGACCCAGUUCCUCUCUUCUGGAUAUUUAGUGCAUGGGCCUCUCCAAAAGGUAUGAAAGAAUGUGCAAAAUGUAUGCACUCCCAUACAGUUUGAAUCAGUUCCUCCAGAUCCCUCUGGAUUGGAGUUUGUCCUCUCAGCCCAUUGUGCUGACUCCAGUCAUGCAGUAUAUGGAUUGCUGACAGCUGCCAGGGUGGCCACCCAACAGUUUAGAUUUGUGUUGGUCUUCUGAGCUUUCUUUGUACCUUCGUAUUCACAUGCAAACCUAGUGUAGUGCUGCUUAAUUUGAGAAAAGAAUAGCAGUGGGCUGUAUUCAGUGAAUCCUAGUGGGAUUCAUGGAUUUUCCCGGUCUCCCCAUCAGUCAGACAUGAUGCCUUACAGAAUGCUAGAAAGGCCUGUUGUAGACUCCACUCCAGUGUCAGCUUGGACUACUAGUUCUGCAGUCAACAUGCUGAUCUACAGGAUGUGGAAUAUAAUUUAAGCCAGAAAACAAGCACCUGUGCUUCUCCAAAGUCCAGAAAUGGUGGAUCUGGGAACCUGGGGUUAGAGGUAAGCAUAGAACUUUUUAUGAUUACAGAUGAAUUCUCCUCACCAAAUGUUUUUAGAUUUUAGAACACAAGGAAAGGAGAAUGGUUCUCCAUGGGAAAUGGGUAAUGCCAUUACUGCUUCCAUAUUAUUUUUUGCCUUGAUUCUUCAAUUUACAUGUAGUAUUUUACAUUGGCAGUGUUUAAGGUUAACGUUUAGUCCAUAGGUUUUUGAAUUUCAUCAAAUCCAACAGUUCUACAGAAGCCAUGCACUUCAUCUGGAGGACUUUGUCUCAAGGAAUGGCCCCAUGACACCAGCUAUUUAUACAUACAAACAGGAAUUGACUUUGGGAUUGGCUUGGACUUUGGGUUGUUUUCAUUGUUCAUGAUAUGUGCUUUAGUACUUACUCAAGAGAUGGUUUUAAAUAUUUUACAUACGGGGACGGGUCAAAACAUGUAUGUACUGUAUCUAUGUACUGGGGUGGAAGGCAGCAGUCUCAGGCUGAUUGGUCUGUCCAGGAAGCAGCUUUUCUCUGAGACCUUUCCACACCCUUCUGUUUCCUAUGUGACUGGCCAUAGCUACUUGGUUUGGUACCUUUCACCUCACCCUAGUUGAGCCAGUCAUGCUCUUGAAAUUAGACUGAAGAAUGAGUGACAACCUGUUAAGUCUCGUUAAUACUUUUUCACUACAGAUAAUGUAAUUUAGAAGUCCUGCCAUUGAGUUCACCUCAAUCGGCCUCAUUUCUGUGUUUUCAAAGUGUUUGUCACUUUGGUUUCUUGCAUUUUAUAAAAUAUUUGUGUUCUUCCAAUAAAAUGU